GUUUAAAUAAUUUAAUAAUUAAAAUAUUGAUUUUGUAAAUCAAAUUUAGAUAAUUUAUAUAUCUUUUAAACU
This 72-nucleotide transfer RNA is filed under the name Ecnomus latus. Its description in RNAcentral is "tRNA-Thr". Lineage: Eukaryota; Metazoa; Arthropoda; Insecta; Trichoptera; Ecnomidae. The record is from RNAcentral.